UCAAAAUCAAUAUUUACGAAUCAUAAAGCAGUUAAGAUAGAUACAUAGUAUAUUCUAUUUCACCUCCCAUCUCCCGCGUUAUUUUGUUUAAUUACCAUCCAACCAUCUGAUUUCUUUUACUCUCGCGGAUGGGGCGGUCACCAAAAUCCAAAGCCGGAAGCUCCGGAUCGAAGAAGGCGAGCGGAGAGGAGAGAGGACGACGCGACCUGGUCGGCCGGCGACGGGAAGAGGAAGACGCGGGCAUCGACGGUGUGGUUCUACUACUGUGACCGGAAUUCGACGACGAGACGAUCCUCCUCCAGCUCCAGUAGGCCAAGCACUUCGAGUGCCAUGUCUGCCACAAGAAGCUCUCCACCGCCGGCGGAAUGGCCGACCAUGUCCUCCGAGGAGACCGUCACCAGAGUUCAUGAUGCUAAGCUUUUGAGAGAAUCAACAAAAAGUGAGAUCUACGGCAUGCAAGAAAUGCCUCCUGAUUUCUCAUCAUCUCGCUAUGCAGAAGGUAAUAUUUCUUACAUGUGCUUCCUUUCUGAUAACUUAACAAAAUGGUCAACACAUGUAGAUAGUUGUUUAUGAUAACUCAAUGAAAUUGUCAACACGUGUAGAUAGUUGUUUAUUAUGAUGUUUCCUAGUUUAUAUAUUAUUGCUAGUUUGUGCUCAAAAUACUGUAUUCCUCAGUUCGACACAUCUUUAUUGAAUGAUUUCUUGAUGUUAAAAGUUUUUCUUUUCGAUAUCUUCAUCAUGAGGGGUAUUAUUUUGAUUUGCCAUUUUCUUCAUAUUAAGGGUCCUGCAUGCUUGUAUCCCACAUACUAAAGGCACCCACCCGAGACUUUCUCUUUGUAGUACUUUCUAUUAUCCUUUAGUAAUGCACUUAGUUUAACUUUAUUCACUCUACUAUUGCUUGUAUAUCGGAGAGCUGAAUUGAAUGCUCCCAAGUUUGAAGACAAUAAAUUUCAAACUCAAUCCUAUCAAAUUUCAAGAAAAUGAUUCAUAUCUUGAGAUAAUUAUGAAAAUUCAAAACCAUCAAAGUACAAUGCGCUAUGAAUUUAAUAUGUAUUGUAAUUUAUGUUUGACUUUUAAUAAAUUGUGACUCAUUAAUUCGUUGGUUGAGGGAUUCAAUGUACAAGGGAUCUAUAAAAGGGGAAGGAAGGAAGAUUGAUGGGGCAUUCUUGUUUUUGAAACAUUAUCAAACUUUUAUAUUUUGAGCUACUAGCUCGUAGUUAUCUCUUUGAAAAAGAGAGAGUUUUCUUUUGUUCUCCCAUAUCUGAUUUCUUUUUUUCAUCCUCUUCUUCUCUCUUCAUCUUGUUUUACAUCAUUUGGUAUCAGAGUCUUACUACGCUCUUGGAGUACUUCCUUCUUAUGGCAACUAGAAGGGGUAGACGGCAGCGACGCGAUGAAAGAAUAAUGCAACUAGAUAGAGAUGAAUGGGAUGCAUAAAUUGAAGCACUAAGGAGACAAGUUGAAGAGCUUACUAUACGCUUUGAACGUCAAGAAACCCAUGGCUCUAGACGCUCAAACUAUGGUUAUGCAAGUGACGGAUUUGAAGACAUGAAUCCCUUUGCAUCCAAAGAAGCUAUAGGAGACUCAUCCAUUGAGAGGUUUUUUUCGUACAAAUGAUAAUAUCAAAAUUGACUUGUCGGAGUUCCAUGGUCGACUUCAACCUGAAGAAUUUCUUAAUUGGCUUAGUACCGUUGAGAAAUUCUUUGAGUACAAGAAGAUACCGAAGAUUGAAAAGUAAAAUUAAUUGCUAUAAGGCUUCGAGGUUACGCCUCAACUUGGUGGGACAAGGUGCAAGAGAUGCUCCUUCGGAAAAGGGAAGAUGAAGAUUUCAUCUUGGGAGAAGAUGAAAUUCGGCUCCAUGAGAAUUUUCUUCCAUCUUAUUAUGUUCAAACUUUCUUUUCACAAUUUAACAAUCUUUAGCAAGGUAGCAAAAUCGUCAUCAACUACACUGAAGAAUUCUACAAGUUGAUGAUCCAAAAUAACACUCAAGAGACAAAAGAACAACUUGUUGCAAGAUAUGUCGGCGGCCUACGAAUUAUGAUUCGAGAUGAAGUGGAGAUGCAACGAGUAUGAAAGUUAUCUAAUGCUUAUCAAUUAAUGCUAAAAGUUGAAGCAAAACUUGUUAAAAGUGGAGCAAAGAGGUAUUCUAAUGUUCCUUUACAUUCCUCUUCUAAAGCUGACUCUACUCGUUAUAAUGUUAGUGGAUCAAAAGCUAGCAAAAUCAUGAAAAAUGCAUCCAAACUAACUCCUACCAAUCGUGGAGGAUAAUCUAGUCGCACCAGUCACCUGCCUACUUGCUUUAAAUGCAAACAAGUAGAACACUACAUGAACAAGUGCCCAAAUAGACAAGCUAAUACACGAGUUAACUUUGUCGAAAAAGAAGAUGCCAAUGAACAACUUAAAGAUAUUGGAAAACCAAUAUAUAAUGAAUGCCACGUGGAGGCUUAUGAAGAACUUGCACCACCCGAAGAAGGUGAGUGCUUGGUAAUCCAUAGAGCGCUUGCUACUCCAAGAGAUGAUUCUAAUGAAGAAUAGUUACAAAAUAAUAUUUUCAGGACACGUUGCAAGUCUCAAGACAAAGUUUGUUCUCUUGUUAUUGAUAGUGAUAGUUGUGAGAAUAUUGUCUUAAGAUAUGGUAGACAAGCUAAAGCUCAAGAUAGAACUACAUCCUAAACCAUAUUGGAUUGCAUGGUUCAACAAAGACAAUGAGGUACGAGAUACUAAUCGCUGCCUAUUUUCUUUUUCAACGGAAAAAAAUUAUAAAGAUAAUGUGUGGUGUGAUGUAGUACCAAUGGAUAUUAGCCAUAUACUCUUGGGAAGACCAUGGCAAUAUGAUAGGUGUACUAUCUAUGAUAGUAGAAAGAACACCUAUACUUUUAAAUUCAAUGGAGUUAGAAUUGUGCUUUUGCCAUGCAAAGAAGAGUUUGCUCCCAAACCUUUACAAGAGAGCGAAGAAAGUGGAGUUGUAUUUAUAUUAGUUGCUAAAGAAUGCAUGCAGCCUAUGGAAAUUCUUGGUGAAGUAGAAGCUAUUGUGGAGGAAUUCAAAUACAUAUGUUCUGAAGAACUUCCUAGUGGCCUACCUCCUCUUCAAGACAUUCAACAUCAAUUCGAUCUAAUUCUAGGAGCAAUCUUGCCAAACAAAUCUCACUAUCGGAUGAGUCCAAAAGAACAUGAAGAGUUGAAUAGAAUAGUUAUGGAUCUACUACACAAGGGUUAUAUUCGAGAAAGUUUAAGUCCGUGCAUCAUUCCAGCUCUAUUGACUCUAAAGAAGGAUGGAACUUGGUAAAUGUGUGUCGACAGUCGAGUUAUCAAUCGGAUUACCAUAAAGUACAUAUUUCUUAUUCCAUGUUUGGAGGUUAUGUUUGAUAUGCUUGUUGCUACUCAAAUUUUCUCUAAAAUUGAUCUACAAAGCGAUUAUCACCAAAUCGAUAUUAAACCAAGAGAUGAAUGGAAAACUGAUUUCAAGACUCGAGAAGGUUUAUAUGAAUGACUAGUUAUGUCAUUUGGACUUUCAAAUGUCCCGAGCACCUUCAUGCGGGUAAUGAAUCAAAUUCUACAUCCUUAUAUUGGGAAGUUUGUUGUUGUUUACUUUGAUGAUAUUGUUAUUUAUAAUCGUAACAAACUUGAUCGUAUUGAACAUUCGAGAACUAUUCUAUCAAUAUUGAAGGCAGAAAAGCUAUAUGUAAAUCUUAAGAAGUGUUCCUUCAUGACCUCUAGCUUAGCUUUCCUAGGCUUUAUCUUAACCCCUAUAGGUAUCCAAGUGGAUUUUGAGAAGAUUAAACUUAUCCAGACUUAGCCAACAACAAUAUCUUUAUAAGAUAUUUGGAGUUUUCAUGGGUUGGCAUCGUUUUAACGUCGAUUUAUUCGGAAUUUUAGCACUAUUAUAGUUCCUCUGACUGAUUGCAUAAAGAAAGAAGUGUUUUAAUGAAUACAUGAGGCAAACAACAAAUUUGAACUAUUAAAGGUGAAAUUAUCCACUAUUCCUGUUCUUUCAUUAUUGAAUUUUUCUAAAAUAUUUGAAAUUGAUUGUGAUGCCUCUCAUGUGGGUGGAGCACUUAGCCAGGAAGGACAUCCACUUGCAUUCUUUAGUAAAAAGCUUAACAAUUCAAGAAAGAACUAUUCAACCUAUGAUAUUGAAUUUUAUGCUAUUAUUCAAGCACUACGACAUUGGAGACCUUUUUUGAUCCAACAAGAAUUUAUCUUAAAUUCUGAUCAUGAAGCUUUUAAACAUAUAAAUUCUCAAGCAAAUCUCAAUAGGUGACAUGCAAGAUGGGUGGUAUUUUUACAAGAGUGUACUUUUGUCUUGAAGUAUAAUGAUGGAAUGUGUAAUAAGGUUGCAUAUGCACUCAGUUGGCAAUUAGCGCUUCUUAAUACUAUGCGAGCCCAACUAAAAGGAUUUAAUGAAAUAAGAAAUACUUUAAUGAUGAAGAUUUUGGAAAAUUAUGGAAGUUAUGCACGAAGAGUCAUCAUGAAGAUUAUGUUAUUGAAGAUGGUUUUCUCUUUCGUGGAACUCAACUUUAUAUUCCUAAAUAUUCUCUAAGAGAGUAUGUUAUCCAAAAACUACAUUCUGGUGGAUUAGAAGGUCAUUUUGGGAGAGACAAAA
Musa acuminata AAA Group (dessert banana) is the source of this 4600-nucleotide long non-coding RNA. RefSeq lists it as uncharacterized. Lineage: Eukaryota; Viridiplantae; Streptophyta; Magnoliopsida; Zingiberales; Musaceae. The transcript is spliced from 2 exons. The record is from RefSeq and is a predicted model, not a curated record.